CGGGGCGUAGUUCAGAUGGCCAGAACGCUGGGCUGGGGGUCCAGAAGUCGCUGGUUCGAGUCCAGUCGCCCCGA
This 74-nucleotide transfer RNA is filed under the name Candidatus Roizmanbacteria bacterium RIFCSPHIGHO2_02_FULL_37_13b. RNAcentral describes it as "tRNA-Pro". It matches the Rfam family "tRNA". From Rfam's summary of the family: Transfer RNA (tRNA) molecules are approximately 80 nucleotides in length. Their secondary structure includes four short double-helical elements and three loops (D, anti-codon, and T loops). RNAcentral also lists the same sequence under 1 other name. The record is from RNAcentral. Lineage: Bacteria; Candidatus Roizmaniibacteriota.